UUCUCCCAGAAGAGAAGGGAGAGCACAUGCCCAGGCUCCAUGGACUUCCGGUUCUCCCCUCCCUUCGCACCCCCACAAUGAGGUCACGACGGGAUGCCACCACCAGCUGGUCCCUUCCAGAGCUCUGUCUGAACUCCACCAGCCUUGCUUCUGGCCUCAUCCUGCAGACCCAGGGGACACCUCCACUUGCAAGUUCAGUCCAUGGGCACUGCACACUCUCUCGGCCCCAAGUUGAACCCCUUUUCCUCACCCAACAUCCUCCAUUUCAACAAAUGGCAGCGUUGUGGGUAAAAUAACACCUCCUUCAGAGACAUUGACAUCCUCAUCCCUGACUUCGG
This 338-nucleotide long non-coding RNA is filed under the name Homo sapiens (human). RNAcentral describes it as "novel transcript". The record is from RNAcentral. Lineage: Eukaryota; Metazoa; Chordata; Mammalia; Primates; Hominidae.